AUUAGUAAGGUUUGUCCUUUUUUAACUUUCUUCUUAUUUCCACACAUUUAUACAUGUGCUUUAUUUAAUCCAUCAUACGAUCAUCUUUCAUAAACUGAAAUA
This is a long non-coding RNA of Etheostoma cragini (Arkansas darter), 102 nucleotides long. RefSeq lists it as uncharacterized. The transcript has 3 exons. Lineage: Eukaryota; Metazoa; Chordata; Actinopteri; Perciformes; Percidae. The record is from RefSeq and is a predicted model, not a curated record.